GACGAACGCUGGCGGCGUGCUUAACACAUGCAAGUCGAACGGAAAGGCCCUGCUUUUGUGGGUGCCCGGGUGGCGAACGGGGGGGUAACCCGGUAGUAACCUGCCCCUGACCUUGGGAUUACUUCAGGAAACUGGGGCUAAUAACGGAUAGGAACUCCUUCCGCCUGGUGGGGGGUGGGAAGUUUCGGCGGUUGGGGAUGGACUCGCGGCUUAUCAGCUUGUUGGUGGGGUAGUGGCUUACCAAGGCUUUGACGGGUAGCCGGCCUGAGAGGGUGACCGGCCACAUUGGGACUGAGAUACGGCCCAGACUCCUACGGGAGGCAGCAGUGGGGAAUAUUGCACAAUGGGCGGAAGCCUGAUGCAGCAACGCCGCGUGCGGGAUGACGGCCUUCGGGUUGUAAACCGCUUUCGCCUGUGACGAAGCGUGAGUGACGGUAAUGGGUAAAGAAGCACCGGCUAACUACGUG
RNAcentral lists this ribosomal RNA (467 nucleotides) under uncultured bacterium. RNAcentral describes it as "partial 16S ribosomal RNA". It matches the Rfam family "Bacterial small subunit ribosomal RNA", at positions 28 to 507 of the family's 1533-position model. The record is from RNAcentral.